GCAGAGACUGAAACAAAGCACACACUACGAGAAAAUAUGAGCGUUUGUUGUACGCUGACCCGAACAAAGAGUGUGGUGUCGUGGCGAAUGUGUUGGAGCUACUGGAACUCUCUUGUUUGUGGCUGGAACAGCAGGGGCUUAUUCAGGGGGGCAUCAUACGACACAUGGGAACUGAGUACAGCAAAGGUAAACAAGGUCUUUAAUCAGUCAGCGGGCGUUUGAAACUAGAGGACAGUCCAGAAAAUGCCAGAUGUGGGUGGAGAGCGCUUGCAGUUUGUAUAGGAGGUUAUAAGUAGAGGAGUGAACAGUGCCGGGAAUACGGAGCAGAGCUCAGCUGUUGCAUGGGUCUCAUCUGACUCCAUUUGUCACAGCUCAUCUUCCAGUUCUUCUCAUCGACUGCCCUCCUCGUUGCAUUUGUCUGGUCCCUCUGCACAGCCAUGCACCCCCAGCGUCCUCUUCCCCAGGCCAUGCCUUCCGCCUCUCUGGGACAGCACCUGCGGGACAUGGCCAUGGGCCUGGGACGAGGCAAGAACUUCCUGGGAGGAAACUUUGCCUACAGUUUUAUCCAGUCGGUUAAAGAAUGCCUCUAUUUCCUCCUCUGCUGCUGGUGCAUCAAAGAGAUCCUGGACUGACAGACUGAGAGAAAAGGGUACAUCAAGUGGUAGAGCACAGAUUUUUCCUUGUUUCUCCACUGGGUCCUGUAUUGUAAUUUCAACCAGCUUUUAUUUCAUCAGAAAUGGGAGUGUUAUAUGGUAAAGCCUUGGCAGGAAGGGAGGUCUUUUGGGGUUCGAGGAAGCUUGCCAGCAGGUUUCAAGAUGAUACAGACUUUAUAUCCGGACUGGGUUAGAGUUUUCUGAAUUGUACCCUGAUGAUCUGAGAUUCCCAGGACUGUGGCUCACCUGAUGUUCACUGUACAACACAAAGUGGUGUGGCAAUAAAUAAAGGAACUCAUAAACAGAAAAAA
This is an RNA transcript of Haplochromis burtoni (Burton's mouthbrooder), 964 nucleotides long. It is a transcript of the gene named lens epithelial protein, with no coding region annotated. The record is from RefSeq and is a predicted model, not a curated record. NCBI's taxonomy places the organism in Eukaryota, Metazoa, Chordata, Actinopteri, Cichliformes, Cichlidae. The transcript is spliced from 2 exons.